AACGAACGCUGGCGGCAGGCCUAACACAUGCAAGUCGAGCGCGCCCUUCGGGGUGAGCGGCGGACGGGUGAGUAACGCGUGGGAACGUGCCCUUUUCUACGGAAUAGCCUCGGGAAACUGAGAGUAAUACCGUAUAUGCCCUUUGGGGGAAAGAUUUAUCGGAAAAGGAUCGGCCCGCGUUGGAUUAGGUAGUUGGUGGGGUAAUGGCCUACCAAGCCGACGAUCCAUAGCUGGUUUGAGAGGAUGAUCAGCCACACUGGGACUGAGACACGGCCCAGACUCCUACGGGAGGCAGCAGUGGGGAAUCUUAGACAAUGGGGGCAACCCUGAUCUAGCCAUGCCGCGUGAGUGAUGAAGGCCUUAGGGUUGUAAAGCUCUUUCAGCUGGGAAGAUAAUGACGGUGCCAGCAGAAGAAGCCCCGGCUAACUCCGUG
Molecule: ribosomal RNA, 433 nt
Filed under: uncultured bacterium
Lineage: Bacteria
Description: partial 16S ribosomal RNA
Rfam family: Bacterial small subunit ribosomal RNA
Source: RNAcentral